UAAUAUUGUUGCAUUUUCACAAGGGCAAAGGAUGCAUAUGAGUUACUGUUAGUAGACAGACCUUGCUAAUUUAUAAACGCUCAAUCAUAGAAAGAAGAAACGGAUUUUGACAAUUCAAUUAUUUCCCACUCCCAUUUGUUCUUCACCCAACAGCCCAUAUUUAACAUCAACACAUCUAGGUUAGCUGCUAAAUUUAAUAGUCUGCUAAAGGAGAAUAUGAGAGCAAUAUUACCAACCGAUAGUCUCUCAUUCCAAAAUUUCAUUUUCAUCUCAUUCCCCACAGCAAAUCUGAUAUGAAUUCAAGGAGAGAAGGAAGAGUUCAUCGAAAGUAGCAUAGCCUCGUAUGUCUUUCUGAAGGGAAGAAAUGCAAUUUCCUGGAGCAAGAGAGAUACCCUUCUCCAAAUUGAAAGAAUAUUUGGAUAGAAGAAGUUGAACUUAAGAGUGAAUCCCUAUGAUUUUCAAAUCUCCAAAGCCAUUUGAACAAAAGAGCUUGAAUUUGAAGAGAGAUCUCUUUCAUGCCUAAGCCUCCAUUCUUUUUAGGCAACAAAAGAGUAUUCCAUUUAAUCAGAUGAAGUUUCUUUGUAAUGACACUACCGGACCACAAGAAAGAUCUAAACCAAUCAGCAAGUAUCUCUAACAUGCCCAAAAGCUUUCCAAAAGUCACAAAAUCUAUAUGAAACUCUUUCCUCCACUCCCAACUUUCUAACUUCCUAACUUUUCUUUUAAGAAUGAGGAGGCUGAACAUAGAAUUAUACUAAAAACAAACUCAUAUUCAAUCUACUCUUUAAUGAUGCUUUAAAACAGCAAGUUUAUCCCAUAGUUUCUUCAAUUUUCUAAAGUAAACAACAACUCAUAUACAUUCUUGACUGAAACUACUUAUUUCUUUCUUUAAUUGGCGUAUAAGUUGCCCAAAUCUUUCUUUAAAGCAAGUGUCAUAGUCAUAGACAUACUCCAAGUCGAAUAAUUUACUAAAUUUAACGGUGCAGAUAGAUAUGAGAAUCCUACUUGGAUUAUCUGAGUUUUGAAGAGUCAAAGGAUCUGAAUCAUUUUGCAAUUGGUUUCCUACCUCUCAAUAUGUACCCUGUCAGCUCCACCUUCUCUAACAAACCAUUUCCCAUGGAUGCAGUCACAAAAACAUCAAGAAUGAUGCAUUAAGCAAAAAGAAAAAUACCAUGUACAAACAAGAGCCCAAAGAAAAUUUUAUUGAGUAUAUUACAAGGUUUAGAAAGUGGUAAAAACAUAAGAUGUCUCAUUAUAUACUGCUGAAAGGAGAAAAGAAACAACCAAAACAACUUUUCUUGCGUAACUUAACUAACAUCUCAAACAGUACAUACAAUCAACUUGGCACAAAGUAAAGAAUCUCAAAGGGAAGAAUAUAUACAUACCUUCCACAAGCAUUUCUAAAAUUCAAAUUUUCAUGUUAAAGAAUUGAUUUCAUUGGAAAAGAUUGUGAACUUUAUAUUAUUAGAUGCUAAUGCAAUGAUUUCACUAAUUUGACUUGAAGGAAAAUAAAAGAANNNNNNNNNNNNNNNNNNNNNNNNNNNNNNNNNNNNNNNNNNNNNNNNNNNNNNNNNNNNNNNNNNNNNNNNNNNNNNNNNNNNNNNNNNNNNNNNNNNNNNNNNNNNNNNNNNNNNNNNNNNNNNNNNNNNNNNNNNNNNNNNNNNNNNNNNNNNNNAAAAAAAAAAAAAAAAAAAAAAGGUGACAAAGAGGAUAUUUGCUUUUCCCUCAAUUCCCAUAACAUUUUCUGUUGUCUAUAAUUUUAGUGACAUUUCAUCCAACCAACAGCAGUAGAAGUCUAGUGAUUCUCUUACCUUGUACUCUGGGACUGUAUAUCCUGCACCCUGCAUUUAGUCUAAUUGUUAAAUCAAUUCUCAAUUAAAGCACACUGCUUUAUAAUCAUUAUUUUCAUUAUUAUUAAAAAUAUAAUAAUUAAGCAAAAAAGAAUUGCUUAUACCUUUAUGGUUAGAAAGGCGAAGUUGUAAUCAUAUCCUUGCAAGUACCUACAAGAGAAAGAGAAAUGAUGAAGUACUCAUUUCACACCGGGUAAUUUUAUCUUAAAUGCCAUCUGUUUUCUGCUGUUCCCUUCAUUUCUCAUGUUCAGAUUCUGCUACAUUAUUAUCUAUUUCAGGAGAGGCGAAACACUCAUGUACUGGAAGAAUCAAUAGCCAAUAAUGAACCUGAUAGACAGAGACACUGGCUGGAAGAAUUGGCGAACAAAGAUACAUUGGCUAGAGAACGGAUAGAGAAUCUGAAAGCAAGUUCCAUUUCUAAUCUAGUGACAUAUUUGGUUCAACACAAGUGAAAAUGAGUUCACGGAAACAAGAUAACAUAGAAGCAUUGAGUUCACCAGUGUCAUUUCCAAGAAGAUCAUUUUGUCGGACACAACGGAGUACUACAGGAGAUGACAGUUCUGCACUGAAUUCUCCUGUUUUCCCAACUUACAUGGCUGCAACAGAAUCUGCAAAGGCAAAGGCGAGGUAGAUGAGCACACCGAGGCAACGAAUAGGAAUUCAGGAUCAUUUUCUCAUUGACAGCUUAUCAUACAAAAGUGGACUUUCUUUUUGGUCUUCUUAUAACAGUGAAUGGUUCGGAAAUAGUAGCGAAGCUGCUCAGCGCGUUCCUGUAAGCGUAAAUCGCCAUUAUUGAUGAGAUGCCUGGCUUGCUUCUCAACAAAAUUAAUACCAACCAGAAGAGUUAAUGCUUCUCAAGAAUUACUUGAUCAGUCACUAACAAGACAAUGAAGUAACUUCAAGCUGUGGUCAUUGGAGAGCUCGAAUACACAGCGGCUCGAAUGAUCGUUCUUUGCCGGGAAAAUAUUUUUGUGGGGGUGAAUUGAAAGGUAUAAUUUUGUGUUAGAUCUAUGAUGUCCAUAAUCAAUCACUUGAUCACUUGCAUAUUAUAUAUUGAUUUUUCUUUUGAGGGGAGAGAGAGAGAGAGAGAUGAGGUUUUGUUUCUGUGUUUAUUGCAGAGGGUUGGGUGUGAGAGUUGGGGUUUUUGAGAAUGGUGUUAUGGAGCUAAGUAGUUGCAAUCAGCAGUGUAAUGUUUGGCUUGCAUUUUAAAAGAGCUCAGCAUGAAAUUGUUCACUAUACAUCAUCUCAUUCGUCCAUGAAAAAACUUGAAUAGUUAUGUUAGGACAAGGAUAAUAUGAAAUUAGAAAAUUUGAGGAUUAUGCUUUUCUUUUUCUUAAAAUUUACUAUUUAGUCCAAAAAAUUCAUUAAUUAGUACAUGGUUUAGAAUUAAAAAAAUAUAUUAAAAUGUGAAGUAUUAAAAAAUUUAUUAAUUAAUUUUUUCAUUAAUUUUAAUCAUUAAAUAGUAAAAAUGUGGUAUAAAAAAUUUAUUAAUGUGUUUUUCGAUUUUGUAAAAGCAUCUACUAAUUAAUUACUUGAUAUUAAGGAUAGUUUAAACUUUUCUAUAAUACUAACGACUGAAAUUAAUCGAAGGUUAAUUAGUAAAAAUUUUAAAAUUUUAUAGAUAUUUUAAAAAAUGCUAAAAUUCAGAGAUUAAAUAAUAAAUUUUUAUAUAUUAUAAAAAUUAAAUAAUAAUUCUUUUAUCACCAAUAAAUUAUAUAUAGGUAAAUGAUGAUAAUUUUAAUAAAGAUUAUGUUAUUUGACAAUAGCUAUGUUAAUUACUAUGAAAAUUACAGAUAUGUUAUCACUCUGUUUAUAUCCAAGUGUAUGCAUAGAGUCUGCAUAUACAAAAUUAUUAAUAACUAUUUUUUUUACUUUAUUUUUAUUCAUGUUAAAUUAUAUGAACUUCUGAGGGCAAACCUUGUUUCUCUACUGGUGGUUAGUACUGCAGCCUUCCCUUAUCCCUUUUAAGUAAGGGAUGGGUUCCUCGAGUGGGUUUACUCUCCUUGUCUCUAGGGCUGGGGUGAAAAUAUUGUGUUUUUCUAUUUUUGCUUUUGCAGUUCUAGAUUUGGAGCUUCAUGGUGAGAGUAUUUUAAAGAUCAGUCUUGGUUUAGACCAACUCAUAGAUGUGAUAUCACUAUUCCAGCGACUGAGGGGAGUGUGGUUUGCUUGCAUGUAUUCUUUUUUGUAGGAUGGGUUCAAAUUUUCUAGGGAGGUGACAUAUCAAGAUGUUAUUAAGGCCACUGAUGUGAUUCCAGUAUUCAAAUGAUUACAACAGAGUGAGGCUACUGUGAGCUCUGCUCUCUCCAACUUACUAAACCUCCAGCACUAUACAAACGAAUCAAAUAGACUUUUGUCCUAAACGAAAAAUAAUUCAUUUAUGUUAUACAUGGAUUCACAAACAAAAUAACCGUUUAUAAUAUAAAUAAAUUUAAUAUCCAUUUGUAUUUUACGUUUGCACAUUCUCUAUCAUUUACAAAUGAAAUUUCACAUAUCCAUCUAUAUUUUUUUUGCAUAUUCUCUAUUAUUUAGAAAUAAAAUUUCACAUAUAAACGGAUAAUUUGUAAAUAAUUUAUUUAUAAAUCCAUUUAUAAUACAAACUUUAUAAAUACAUUUAUUUGUGAUACAUAACGUUAAUUUAUUUAUAAAUUUAUUUGUAAUUUAAAUGAUUUAUCCAUUUAUAAAUUUAUUAAUAAUAUAAACGACUAAUCUAGAGAUAAUCGAGUCCAACCAACAUUUCUAAAGUUCAAGUUUGUUAUUAAAAAAUUAUAAAUUUGAAUUUGAUUCGUGAAAUAUUUAACGAUUUUAAUGAAUUUUAACUUAAUUCGAGUAUGGCAAGUGGUGAAUUCGAUUAUUAGUUUGACGUUUAGAAAUAGUUUAAAAAUAAAAUUAAAUAAAAAUAUUUUAAAAUUAAAAUAUUUAAAUUUUCUCAUUAUGAUAAAAAUCACGUACUAAUAUAGGAAAGAGAGACUCUUCUGCUAGAGUUUUCGAGGGCAAGGCGAAUCCUUUCUUUAGGAAUGGUCAAAAAAUAAAUAAUUAAUGAAUUUUACCAUUCCAAUUCCAUGAGUAUACCAUGAAGUUACAAAGAUUGUAAACCAAGGCGAAAUAGUCUCGAUUUCCUAUCUAUAAAUAGAAAGUACUUUACCGUCAUCUAUAAAUAGAAAGUACUUUACCGUCGUCAGAGUUAAGGGUUAAGAGAGAGGGAAAACCUUUCAUAGGAAAGAACUUCUCGUCUUAUAAUUUACUGAUACAAGAUUAAAAUUAAAUGGAUAUAAAUUUAAUAGACGGAUUGUAAAAUUAAAUGACACAAAUAGAUUGAUAACUAUAAGUAUCUUUUUAACUAUAUAUUCUUUAUACUUAAUUUAACGGUGCAGAUAUGAGAAUCCUACUUGGAUUAUCUGAGUUUUGAAGAGUAGAAGGAUCUGAAUCAUUUUGCAAUUGGUUUCCUACCUCUCAAUAUGUACCCUGUCAACCCACCUUCUCUAACAAACCAUUUCCCAUGGAUGCAGAAUCUCAAAAACUUAAAGAAUGAUGCAUCAAGCAAAAAAGAAAAAUACCAUGUACAAACAAGAGCCCAAAGAAAAUGUUAUUGAGUAUAUUACAAGGUUUAAAAAGUGGUAAAAACAUAAAAUCUCUCAUUAUAUACUGCUGAAAGGAGAAAAGAAACAACCAAAACAACUUUUCUUGCCUAACUUAACUAAUAUCUCAAACAGUAAGAAACAAUAAGUUUCACAUUCAUAACACCACAAAAAUGUACCGCAAAAUGCACCAUAUAAAUAACUCAAAUGGUGGUCCAACACUAAACUAUAUCUAUUAUAUACCAUAUUGACAAAAUGAUCAUACUUGAUUCCAUUAUUAUUAUUAUGUACGAUAAAGAUCUCUUAUACAGAGAUGAUUUCCUAAGUAAUUUUCCUUAAUAUACAGCCAUUGUAAAUAAUUUACUAUCACAAGAUUCAACAGUUUCAACAACUUAAAUUGGUAGAUUUUCUGUCCACCAAAAAAUUUUUUAAAAAAAAUGGCAGAUUUCUCAACCACUACACUUGUACCUUGGCUUCAGCAGGAUACAAAUCAUACAAUAGAGGUUUGGUUAAUUUAGAAAGCAGUUUGAAAAUAGUUGCAUUAGGCCAAGCAAAGUGAUUUAAUCAUAUCCUUAAAAUGGACUCACUUUAUUUGAUAGCUAUUGCUAUUAACUAUCAACAUUUAAUCGCCAGUUACACAUCCAAUCAACUUGGCACAAAGUAAAGAAUCUCAAAGGGAAGAAUAUAUAUAUACCUUCCACAAGCAUUUCUAAAAUUCAAAUUUUCAAGGUAAAAAAUUGAUUUCAUUGUGAAAAGAUUGUGAACUUCAUAUUAUUAGAUGCUAAUGCAAUGAUUUCACUAAUUUGACUUGAAGGAAAAUAAAAGNNNNNNNNNNNNNNNNNNNNAAAAAAAAAAAAAAAAAAAAAAAAAAGGUAACAAAGAGGAUGUUUGCUUUUCCCUCAAUUCCCAUAACAUUUUCUGUUGUCUACAAUUUUAGUGACAUUUCAUCCAACCAACAGCUGUAGAAGUCUAGUGAUUCUCUUACCUUGUACUCUGGGACUGCAUAUCCUGCAUCCUGCAUUUAUAGUGUAGUCUAAUUGUUAAAUCAAUUCUCAAUUAAAGCACACUGGUUUAUAAUCAUUAUUUUCAUUAUUAUUAAAAAUAUAAUAAUUAAGCAAAAAUGAAUUGCUUAUACCUUUAUGGUUAGAAAGGCGAAGUUGUAAUCAUAUCCUUGCAAGUACCUACAAGAGAAAUGAUAGCAUUUUAAAAGGUCAUUGAGCACAAAAAUAAAAAUAGACAAAGAUUAUUAAGCAUUGUAGUAUGGGACCAAUUAGUUUUAGUUCUCAAUUCAAUUUUAGGACUGAGCUCUCGAGUUAAGGCUGUAGUAGCAGCCAAUAAAAAAUUGUAAAGGAGAUGGUGGGUUUACCAGCAACUUGAUCAUUAGAAAUCCAUGACCUCCAUUCAUCAACAAUCUUAUAUCAAAGAGAUCAAGUCCAUGUCUGAAUUCAAGCGAAAGGAACACACAUAUCAUGUUUUCCACCACAGGUCAUUUGCGGUGUUAGAAAUUUUCAUUUUGUGGAAGAGAAUCACAGCUGAUUGAAAUUAAAAAUGAUAUUUGAAGAAGUUAGUUAAAUUACAUGUCUAUUAUAUUUGAAAAAGGUAAUUACCAAGUUGCGCUCCAAGACACACUUGAAUGGUCAAGAUAUAACAACUUUAGUUUGCUGAUCCCUCAUUGCGCACCUUUAAAAGCCUCAGAAUGAGAUCAUUAUUCCGCAAUAAAUGUACUACCAAUUCUGUGGUAGCAGCAUCAGCAGAGAACCCGUUAUCAACCAUUUCGUUGAUUAGUUCUGAUGCUUUUGGUAAAUCCUCAUGCUUGAGAAACCCUUGAAUGAUGAUAUUAUAACAACAAUUAUUUGGUAAACAUCCUACCUUUUCCAUGUCUUUAAAUACCUUAUACGCUUCAUCCAUCAAUCCUUGUCGGCAGAGUCCUUUCAUAAUUGCACUAUAUAUAUGAACAUUAGGUUGUAAACCAUUUUCAAAAAGACUAGAAAACAGUUCCUUGGCAUCAUUAAUCUUGCCAGCUUUGCACAUACCAUUGAUCAGAAUGCAAUAGGUCACAAGAUUAGGCUUUAACUGACUUUCCUCCAUUUUUUUCAAUAGGGUGAGUGCUUCAUCGAGAUUCCCCUGACUACACAAGCCAUUAAUCAUAAUUGAGAAGGUUACUAUAUUUGGCUGUUGACCAUGAGAGCACAUGUUCUUAAAGAGCUCCUGAGCAGUUUGGGGCCUCCCUGCUUGAAACAUACCCUCUAUAAGAGUAGAAUAAGUAACAACAUCAGGAACUAAACCUUUAUGAGACAUUUCAACAAAAACAUCCUUUGCAUCAUCUAUCAUUUUGCACUUACAAUAUCCAUUGAUCAAAAUGGUGUAGCUAAAAAUGUUAGCUAUUUCAUUGGUCACCAUCAGAUCAAAUAGCUUUCUAGCCUUAUCAAUUUGCUUGCAAAGACAAUAUCCAUCCAUCAAUGAAUUAUAAUUGACAACAUUAGGCUCCUCACCUCUUUGAACCAUUAUUUUGAUUAUAAUCUGUGCAUUUGAAACCAGUCCUUUCUUACAAAGAGUGUCGAUCAAUAUGUUGAAGGUAAAAACAUUAGGGGAUAUGUUCCUCCCCACCAUUUCUUUCAACAAGGCCAAAGCUUCCUUGAAAUGGUCUGAAAUGCAAAGACCAUCAAUUAAGGAAGUGUAGGUGACCACAUUAGGCUCUACACCUCUUUGAAUCAUUAUAUUGAAUGUAUUUUGAGCCUCUGAAACCAUUCCAUCCUUACAAAGAGCGUCAAUCAAUACAUUGAAGGUAUAAACAUCAGGUGAUAUGUUCUGCUCCACCAUUUCAUUCAUCAAGGCCAAAGCUUGGUUCUUUUGGCCUAAUUUGCAAACACCGUGAAUUAAACUAUUGUAAGUGAUGACAUCAGGUGAAACGCCCUUAUUCCUCAUUUGAGAGAAGAGCUCUAAAGCCUCACCAACUAGCUCAUCCUUGCAAAGGGCGUCAAUGAUUGCACUGUAUGUCACAACAUUUGGCUCACAACCUCUAUCAGCCAUUCCGUUUAGUAGCCCAAUAGCCACAUUUGUUUUCCCAAAUUUACACAUUCCGUUUAUUAUCGCACUGUAAGUAUAAACAUUAGGUUGAUAACCAUGUGCAACCAUAUCAUCGAAAAAUUCCACUGCUUUGUCGAUUUUGCUCUCCUUACAAAGCCCAUUAAUUAAGGUAGUAAAUGUCACAGUGUUAGGCUCCAAUCCGAAUUUGAGCAUCUUACCAAAAACAGAGAAGCCAAAAUCCACAAGGUGCAAGUGGCAGAAGCAAUUAAUUAAGAUGCUAAGAGAAUAAACAUUGUGUGAGAUUCCUAGCAAUUCAAUUGUUUUGGACAUGGAAAAGACAGUGUGAUAUUGUUUCAUUUUCACAAGGGCAGAUAAGAAUCUAUUAAAAUGAACCCUAGAAGGCAGAGGAUUCAUAUGAAUUACAUGAUUAAAGGAAGCAAUGGCAUCAUGAAGGCGGGUAAAAGAAGCAGAUUUGAAGUUAUUUGUCAAGAAGCGUGCAUCUUCAAGUGUGGAAGUAGAAGAAUGGCAAUAAUUGGUAAAUAAGAAUAGGAAUGGAGAUUGAAUGGUACCAAUUGCCCCUUGUAGCUGAAGAUGGAAGCUCCUGCUCUUCCUCCUCCAAGGCAUCUUCAUCAUCAUCGAUCUCUCGUCAGUUGUUUUUAGGGAUGGAUCGGAGAUUGGGAAUGAGGAAAGGAAAUAGAGAAUCGGAAAAAGAAGGCUCUCUGCCUGGUAAAGUGGCAAGGAUAACAAAAGGAAAUUGGGAAUUGUUUAUAUGCGCCACAUUUUGUGAUUUUUUAUUAAUUUAAAAAUAUUAUUUAAUAACAAAUUAAAUUUAUCAUUUUAUAAUAAUAAUUUUUUAAAUAUAAAUUCAAUUAAAUUUCUACUUUUAUAUAAGAGUCAAAUAAUCUUAAUUCAAAAUUUUGGAUAAAUUAAAUCUCUAUACUCAAAUAAAUUAUAAUCUAACAUAAUAUUAUAUAAUAUUAUUUUUUAAUAAUAAAAAUUUUUAUAUGAUAAAUUUUAUUUUUAUAAUUUUAAAAAUUAUUAAUUAUAUUUAUAUAUUUUUAAAAAAUUUUAUGAUAAUUAAAAUACUGAAUUUUUAAUUUUUAAAUUAUAAAAAUAAUAUUAAGUUAGAAUCUAUUUAGCCCUUGACAAAAUUACAUAGUUUAAUUAGCCUAAAAUUUUAAAAAUUUUAAAUUGAAUUUAUUUGAAUCUUAAUAAAAAUAUAGAAAUUUAAUUAAAUUUUAAAUAAAUUGACCCAACAUUUAUUUUAUUAAAUAAUAUUCCUUAUUUAGUAAAUAAUUGUCAACGUAUAUUUUUAAAAAUAUUAUUAUAGUCUAAUUGUAUAUAAUAUAGAUGAGGAAAAAAUAAAUAGUUUAUUGUUUAAUUUUACUCUAAUAUAAUUAGAAAUUUAAAAUGACUAACUUUAUAUAAUUUUUUAUUAUUAAUUACUUUAUUUAUAACUUUAUUUUAGUAUAAUAAAAAUUAAUUUUUUUACGAAGCUUAACUCUAACUCUCAUGAGAACUGUUUAGCACAUUUUUAUUUUGACAUUUUAUUUGAAUAAUAUUACAAUAUUAAUUAAUAUCAGUAAAAAAUUAAUAUAAAUUAUUUCAAAAUAAUAAAAUUUUGAAAUGUUAAACUCACUAAAUGUAUUUUGCAUUUUAAAUUUUAUUUGUUGUUUUAUUUUAUUGUUAAUAAUAUUAACGUAAAUUUAUAAUAUACAAAAUUUCAUAAAAAUUAAAAUUAUAAACAUUUUAUUUAUAAGAUUACAUAAUAAAUGUUAAAUUAGAAAAUUAAAUUACUGUGUGAAGCUAAUAAAAAAAUAUAAAAUUAUCAAAAAUUUAAUAUUUUUAUUAAAUAUUUAUUGCUAAAAAUUAUUAGUAUGAAUUAUUUAUUCCAAAAAUUUUAGCCACAAACUCAAAUAUUCAGCAUUAAAAAUAUUCAUACUUUUGAUGAUCUUUUAAAUUGGAAGUUUGAAAUUUUAGUUAGUUUUUUAUAUUAGAUUAUAAUAAAAUUUUGAUUUAAAUUUUAAUAGAAAAAUAAUAUAAUUAACCAAUCAAAUUAAAUAUUUUAAAUAACCAAUCAAAUUAUUAGAUUAUAAUAAAGCUUUAUCUCUGCCUGUUUACUUCUAAAGGCAAACCUUGUUUCUCUACUAGUGGUUAGUACUGCAGCCUUACCCUAUCCCUUUUAAGUAAGGGAUGGCUUCCUCGAGUCUUGGAUAUGGGUUUACUCUCCUUGUCUCUAGGGCUGGGUUGAAAAUAUUGUGUCUUUCUAUUGUUGUUUUUGCAGUUCUAGAUUUGGAGCUUCACGGUGAGAGUAUUUUAAAGAUCAGUCUUGGUUUAGGCCAACUCAUAGAUGUGAUAUCACUCUUCCGGCGACUGAGAGAGUUUGUGGUUUGCUUGCAUGCAUUCUUUUUUUAGGGGGUUCAAGUUUUCUAGGGAGGUGACAUAUCAUGAUGCUAUUAACGCUACUGAUAUGACUCCAGUCUUCGAAUAGCUACGAGAGAGUGAGACUGCUGUGAGCUCUGCUUACUCCAACCCACUAAACCUCUAGUACUAUAAAAAAAAUAAAUUUACAAACGGAUCAUAAACAUACUUUUGUUAUUGAAGGGAGGAGAGGCAUUCUCUUUUUAUAGGGAAGAAAAACUUUUCAUCUUUUAUAAUUUAUCAAUGUGAGAUUAAAAUUAAAUUGAUAUAAAUAAAUUUAUAAACUGACAAUAAAAUUAAAUGACACGAACGGUUCAAUAACUAUAAUUAUCUUUUUAACUAUAUACUCUUUAUACCUAUUUUAUAUCCGUCAAACAAUCAUAUGCAUUCUAAUAAUAGACAUUAUUCCAAAGUGUUAUAACAUAAAAAAUCAUUUUGCAUGAAUAACAGUUUCAACUAAAGGAGAAAUACAACAUCAUGACUGUUUUGUCAAUUUUAGUUUCAAAAGUCUUGAAGAGUUUAAAAGACAUCUUAUUGUAAAGAUAUGAAUCAACAACUUCUUAAUUUAUAUUGAUAAUGAAAUGAUUUUUUUAUUGGCAAUUCAAUAAAAAUUCAUUGGUAAAUAAAUUAAUAAUAAAUUACUAAUAGAUUACGAUCCGUUGUUAAAAAGUUCGGUGGUAAAUUUUUAUCAACGGCUUUCAAGUUCGUUAGUAAUACUAGUAGAUUUAUUAAUGGGAUUUCCAUUAUUAUUACCAACAAAUUUUAAUAACGGAAUUUUCAUUAUUAUUACCAAUAAAUUUUAAUAAAUUUUAAAUUUCUUAAUAUAAAAGAAAAAUAAUUUAUUAAUAUAUGUGAAAUCCGUUUGUAAACUAUCAAGGAAUUGCAAUCCAUUAGUAAAUUUAUUGAGAGUUUAAAUAAUUUUUUAUUAAUUUAAUAAAACUUAAAAUUAUAUUAUUCCUGUUACUAAGUUUUUAAUUUAUAUCCAAUAUUUAUUAGAAAUACAAAGAAAGUGAAAAUAAAAAAAGAGUAAAUGGUACAAAAUGAGAGAAAAUAAUAAAAAAGAAAGAAAAAAAGAGAAAAAUAAAGAAAAUAAUAAAAAAUAAAAAUUAUGAAAAUGAAGAAAGAACCAGAGUUGGGUAAAAAGAUGAUUAAAGAAAUGAAAAAAGUGAAUAAAGGAUUAGAGAAGAAAAUAAAUAAAGAGAAAAUAAUAGAAAAAAAUGUAUAUAGAAAGAAAAUGAUAGAAAAAAAUAAUAUUAGAAAAAUUAAUAUGAAUGAAAAUUAUAGAGAAAAUGAAGAAGAUAAGAGGAAAGGAAAGAAAAAGAUGGAAAAGAAAAUAGAGAAAAUGAAAGAAAAAUUAUGAAGAAUGAAAAAAAAUAAUAGAAGAGGAAAGAGAAUGAGAGAGAAUAGGAUAAGAUAUGAAAGAAAAAUAAUAGAAAAAAUAAGAAAAAAAAUUUAUGAGAUAAAAAAGUGAAAUGAAAAAAAGUAAUAGAAAAAAAAAAGAAAACAGAGAAAGGAUAAAAAAUGGAAGAAAGAUAGAUGAUAAGAUUUAGAUUUGGCUCUUAAAAGUAUAUAUAUAGGAUUUGAAUUUAUUUUUCUUAUGAUAUUAAUCUCAACCUGCUUAAUUAGACUAUUUACGAACCUACUCAUGAAUUCAUAUGCGAGUUGAACUCAGCAGUUUUAACGAGACGAAUAUUAUGGAGUUUAAGUUUACUUCAUUUACUAAAUAAGCCUAAAAAUUAAGUUUGAGUUUAACUCGUUUAGAAAUCGAGUCGAAUCUGAAAUAACUCACAAACGAUUUGUUUCAUUUACACCUCUAAAUUUGUUAACAGAUUAAAAUUGUUAGUGAUUUAUUAAUGGAUCUGAUAAAUUUUUACACAAUUUUUUAUAUUAAAAAUUACCAAAAAAAUUUUCAAAUUCGUUAAAAUCACUAAUGUACAUUGAUAAAAUUUAUUAGUAAAAUUUGUUGAUAAAAGUAUAAAAACUAUAGCUUUUCCUUUUAGCAUGUUGCUCACUAUCUCGCUUGAACCAUUAAAACGAUGUUUUACAUGAUUUUGUAGCAUAGAAAAAUAUAUCAAAUUGCUAACAAGAAACUUCCUUUUAUAUUUAGUUUCGUACGAAUAGCUCUAAAACUAACAUUUUGAUAAAAGCGACUCCAAAAUCUUGUAACAAGUUGCCUUUGUGAUUUCUGAACAAAUCAUCUCUCUCAGCUAUCUCUCAUUCUUCAGAAGUGGAGUAUAAAAACCUCUGGUAGGACUCAUAGUCUGAUUAACGUUGAUUUAUCUCUUUAAAGCCAUACAAAUCAUUAUAUUCUCGCUUUGAAUUUGCCCUUUAAAAAUGUAAAUGUCCCUUUCUCUUCGACCAAAUUUAACACUUUGACAAACUAAAUAAUAUUUUACCUUUAUUUUUUCAUCUCUUUAUUAAUUUUUUAUAUAUUAUUAUUAUUAUUAUUAUUAUUAUUAUUAUUAUUGCAAAUAGGCAAUUAAAUUUGAGCUCCUAUUAUAUUAAUAUCACAUUAUUAUAUGAAUAUAUUUAAUCAAAAUUAUCCAAAAAAAUUAUAAUAAAAUAAAAUUAAGAAAAUAUAUCAUUUUAGUUGAUUUUUUUAUUGUAAUUGAAAUAUUCAAAAUUUUAUUAUAUUUGCUAAUAUCUGUUAUUUAAUAAAAUUACUAUUUAAUUUAAAAAUUAUUAUAGUCGAAUUAUAUAUAUAUAUAUAUAUAUAUCCAUUUGUUUGUAUUUUUUAUAUCAAUCAUAAAUGUAUUAAUUAUUUUGUAAUUUUUUAAUUAUAUGAGUAAAUUACUUAUUAGUAAUAUAAUAUAUAUUUAUAUAUUAAUUACACAUAUUUUUUAAUUAAAAUUAUAUAAUUAAUAACUACAUAGAAUAAUAAAAUAUUCUUAUCUUAUAUUACUACUGUUAUUAUUUUAGUAUUAUUAUUUACUAUUUUAAAAUAUACAUAAAAAGUUAUUAUGAUUUUAUUUGUAAAAAUUAAAAUUUAAAUCAAAUUGAAACUAAAAUUAAAGUAAAAAAAAUUAAAAACAAAUUUAGACAGUAAUGAAAUUGCUUACAACCAUAUCAAAAUUAUACCGAAAUUUAAUUUCAAAUGUGGUUUUAAACAUUAAAGUAUUAGAAAUUUGGUUUGGUUCUAAUUCUUAGUAAGAACUAUAAUUUUUUUUUUUUUUUAUUUGAAUCUGAUUCUUAGCAAGAAUUACAGUUUUUCUUUUUAGCAUGUUGCCCACUACUAAUUAAGUUGUAUAGGUUAGCUGCUAAAUUUAAUAGUCUGCUAAAGGAGAAUUUGAGAGCAACAUUACCAACCGAUCGUCUAUCAUUCCAAGAUUUUAUUUUCAUCUCAUUCCCCACAGCAAAUCUGAUAUGAUUAAACAACAACUGAGAACAAAGAUCUAAAUUUAAUAGCCGCAUUUCGAAUGUCUUUCCGAAGGGAAGAAAUGCAACAACAGUAUUCCAUUUAAUCAAAUGAAGUUUCUUUGUAUUGACACUACUGCACCACGAGAAAGAUCUAAUGUGUAAUAGUUAGAUGAUGCUUUAAAGCACCAAGUUUAUCCCAUAGUUUAUUCAAUUUUGUAAAGUAAACAACAACUGAUAUAGAUUCUUGGGUUCUGAAUCAUUUUGCAAUAGGUUUCCUACCUCUCAAUAUGUACCCUGUCAAACCCACCUUCUCUAACAAACCAUUUCGCAUGGAUGCAGAAUCACAAAAACUUCAAGAAAGAUGCAUCAAGCAAAAAGAAAAAGUAUAUUACAAGGUUUAGUAAUAACAUAAAAUGUCUCAUUAUAUACUGCUGAGAGGAGAAAAGAAACAACC
RNAcentral lists this long non-coding RNA (14684 nucleotides) under Manihot esculenta (cassava). Its description in RNAcentral is "long non-coding RNA (MESC_LNC012188)". The record is from RNAcentral. Lineage: Eukaryota; Viridiplantae; Streptophyta; Magnoliopsida; Malpighiales; Euphorbiaceae.